Molecule: long non-coding RNA, 385 nt
Filed under: Linum usitatissimum (flax)
Lineage: Eukaryota; Viridiplantae; Streptophyta; Magnoliopsida; Malpighiales; Linaceae
Description: long non-coding RNA (LUSI_LNC002699)
Source: RNAcentral
GAUUAAUUUGGUGGACCAGUACCUGCAAUUUUCCCUAUGAAAUCUACAUGAAAAGGGGGCAAGAAUCCAAUGCAACAGGCAACUGGCAAUAGAGACGACAUAGAGGAGGAAGACGACAGACAGGCAUAACCAUGACAUGAGUUAAAAGGGGAAAUAAUGGAAGCGAAGGCAGACGGUAGACAUGUCAAGUAAUGGCAUUUCCCCAUUCGGGACGGAAACGCGCUAAGGGUAGAUAUUCAAGGAGUUCGGAUGCGAAAGGAGGGUCUGGAGGAGGCUGGAGUGCGAACUGCGUAGCAGCAAUCAAGGCAAGCCAAUGCUGGUUGACAGCAAUUGUCACGGGGUGAUCGGAGGGAGUAGUUUGAAAUCUUAUAAACGGAACCGACCG